UGGGGACGGAAGCACCUCCCCAGGCCUGGCUGUGCGUGGGAAUGGCUGGGGAGCUGGGAGGCAGUCCCAAGAGUGGACCCACGCCCGGGGUUCUGAGCUCAUCUGGAGGUUCUUGAACCUCUCCCCAGGGGAGGCUAGGGUGUGCCGGGCAGGAGAGCCACACUUUAACCUCACCGGAGCUCAGCCUGGGCAGGGGUAAGUCCUGCCCCUCCACCAGGAGCCCGGGCACCACCUUCCCACCUGCCUCUCCGCCUCCUCCUCCUGGCCCCUGCUACUUACUUCAUACCCCAAUCUCUGGUCGCACCAAGUCCCCUUUGUUUCCCAGAGGUGCUUGGUCCCCAGCCAUCAAGGUCGCCAGCCGUCAAGGUCAGCUGCACCUUUGCCAGCUCCUCCUUGCCCUCCCUGGGCAGCUGCUGGGCAGAGUCCCCCUCCACCUGCACACACACACACACACACACCCCUGUAACACCCUGCGGACCCAAGGAGCAGGCUUGCAAGAGCCCCUCCUUAGCGUCUCCUCCCAACUUGGCCGUCGCGACAUCAGCUUGCAACUGGUCAAGGUAGGGGCAUUUAGAACAGGGUGCCAGGGCGCCAGGCAAACAUACGGGAGGGAACUUUCUCCCCAGAAAUCCAGCUGUUAUCAGUUGGCCGGGUCUCCCCUCCCUCUCCUGUCCACUCUCCCCUCCCAGGAAACUGGUCCUCAAGAGCCCAUCUCAGUGGCCAAAGCCUGGUGGCCAUCUCUGGACAGGAGAGCCACACGGUGUCAUGGAAGAGGGUGUAGGUGUGGGGAGCAGGGCCUUUCCGUCAGUUGACGUCAGAGCACCUCUGGGGCCCAGGUGGCCGGCUGGCAUGGCUUGUGGCCCCUAGGCAGCUCCCUGCACACCCUUGUCGGGCAGGCUGCCUGGGAGGUGCUGGGUGUCAGUAGGUCCCUGGGGAAGGGACAGCCAGCUGGCACCGUGUCGGGACAUGGGAGUGGCUGUGGUGGUGGCUGCAGUGUGGGGGGAGGACGUUUCCGCAGUGUUGGUCCCAGGAGUGGAAGCUACUCAGGGUUGAAGGUAGUGUUGGGCCCAGGAGGCCUGUGCUGGUGGCCUGGGAGCCUAAGGGGUGGGCACAGUGUUGGGGAAGCAGGCCCCUUGCAGGGUCUCACUCUUGGAGGCCUCUUCUUGUGUCCCCUGGAGCCGCUCUGUGCGCCCCCCUGACACACACACACAGGGAAAUGGUUCCACUGGGCAGAGUGUGGGGACAUCGCAUUGCCUUCCUGGGGAACGCUGGGCUCCGAGGAGCUCACGGGCUCUGUGGUUGGCACCGGCUCCUCCGCGGACACCAGCUGCCUAGACGGGCCCCUUCCCAAAGAGACCGUCACACGGACAGCUGGUCAGUCAGCAGGAUGAGACAUUCCAGUGUGAAACUGGCCAGUGGACAUGAAGACGUGAAGCUGGUUUCCCCUCGUGGUCUGGAGACUUCCUGGCUUUGAAGCAGCAGCGUCCACUGGGUCACUGGGGAGCUUCAGGGCCUGGUGUGUCUGGCUAGAGGUGCCUGAUGGAGGCAGGGAGGCCUGGGGGGUGUGAGGGCCAGGAGGGGCAGGAGCUGGGGCCUCGGGCAGGCGGCAGGACGAGGACGGAGCCUGGGGUGGCAUUCGGGACGGUGGAGGGAGCAGCCAGGCCCAGGGCGCCCCGUCCUGUGUGCCUGGACCGUGUGACAAGGCUGUGAGCCUUACUGCUCCCAGGACCCUGAUGGGAGGACGGUCUAAAGUAGGACUUGGGUGGCCCGCGCGGCCCGUCCUUCCUGUCACACAGGCUCCGCGGCGGCCGGCCAGGAGAUAUUUAUACUCCGCUCUCGGGGGACCAGGUGCUCUUGUUCUGCUCUUUCUCCCCACAUUCUGAGGUUGACUGGGUGACUGGCCGAUUCUUCCUGGUAGAGACGAACAGGGUUUCCGUCGGUCAGCGAAGCAGCCCUCAGGUUGGGGUCCCUUGCCCUGGAGAGCAGCCUUGGAUUUCUCUCCCCAGAGCUCUUGUCACCGUGUUCUUCUGAGCCUGGGAACGCUCAGGUCCUCAAGUGCUUCUGGAACCGUCCACCACCAGUGGCCCCUUGCUGAUGAGUAUCUGUGUCCACUCUCUUUGUACAGGGACAGUUUUUUGAAAACUGAUCUUGACCCUUUUUCCUAAUAAGAGCCGCCUGCUGGAGACUCAGGGCAGACAGGGCCUCACGGUGCAAGUGGCACUUCAGCCACCAAGGGUGACCCUGGGGCUCAGCUUGGAGUUGGUGCAGUGCACCCAGGGGUCAGAUCCCAUGGUUCCCAAACAGACCAUUCUGAACCGAGUGGCAGAAAGUGACCACUUGAGAUGGAUUGAGAAGAAAAAGUGGCCCAGGUGCUGUUGGCCAGGACUUCCGCGGGGCCUGCGAGGGCCUCAGCUGGGCGACCCAAAGCUGGGCGACUUGACCAUGGGGCAACCACAUGUACUGCACUCUCGGGCUGGGCCUGCUGGCAGGACGGCCACCAGGCUGGGUCCAGCAGGACGGUGGGCCAUGGGCCUCCCUGUGGCUCCCCUGUGGCGCCUCAGUGCUCUAGAGCCUGGUAGGGCUGCACGGCCCUUUGCCAGCCAGCUGAGAAGUCGCAUGUGCCAAGCACGCUCAUGCCCACACCCGGAGCAAGGGGCCCAGGCCUUGAGGAGCCGCGUGGGACCUGAGGUCACCCGAGAGCCGCUCCUGCUCCACAAUUCCCAGCCCCAUGGUCACUGCUGAUGGCUCACAAGGACCUGUGUCUCGUAGCAAGCCCCAAGGCUUUCCUUAAAAAAUAUUAACAGUGUCCACUGGACACGUUGGUGUGAGCCUCCAUACACAUCACGGCAAGCACCGAGCAGGCCCAGCCCCGCCGACCUCCAGCCUCACACAAGGACGCGAGGCCUCAGCCCUUUGGAGCCCCAGGCGCUGCCAAAAGGCAAGAGAGGCAGACCCCAAGUCACGCAGCUCCCGUUCCCGGGCGCUCCGGGGCUCGCGGCCUGACAUCUUCUUUUGGUUCUUCCCGUCUCAGGAUUCCACGCGACCAUGACGGAGAAGAAGCCAAGGAGGCCAAGGAGAACGGGGGCCUGAGGCCGCGCCUGGUGGUCUCCUCCCCACCGAAGGGCGAGACGCGGGCCCUCUUCUGGGUUUGCGUUGACACCUCUCUCCUUUCAAUCCAAAGCUCAAGUGCUGCCUGGAAAUGGAGUCUGCAGCCCCCCUGGGUGGACCUCCAUUCUUCUGGCUCUUUGGGGGUAAGUUUUUCAGAGUCUCUGGAACUGUUUCCUCGUCUGUAAAAUGGGACUGAUACUAGUUUUUUUGGGGGGGAUGGUGGUACCAGGGAUUGAACUCAGGGGCCCUUGAACACCGAGCCUCACCCCAGCCCUACUUUGUAUUUUAUUCAGAGACAGGGCCUCACUGAGUUCCUUAGCACCUCAAAGUUACCGAGGCUGGCUUUGAACUCCCCAUCCUCCAGUCUCAGCCUCCCGAGCCCCCGGGAUCACAGGCCUGAGCUGCUGUGCGCUGGCAGGUCUGAUAAUAGUUUAUUAUCUCUACCUCCAGGAGCUGAUAGGGGUCUGAUAGGAUUCUGUACGCUGACACCGCAGGGCGUGGCGUGAGCUGGGAGGGCUGGAUUAGUCUCACUGGGCUUGCUAAGAACUUCACAAGGAGAUAAAUGGUUCUUAAUUGUUUCUGAUAUCCUGCCACAGCAUCCUGGGUGAGCAGGAGAGUGUGUGUGUGUGUGUGCACCCACGUAUCCCAUGUGCACACGCGUGUGCGCUCCACCAGAAGCAGAGCCCGGUGUCCUUGCUGAGACUCUGGUACUCUCUGUCCUGCCCUUCGAUGCUCUUGCUGCGCCUCAGCCGUGGUGAAGAUUGAGAGAAUCUAGGACAGUGAAUUUCCUCAGAGGGACGAGAAGGUCACAAGGAAAGUCUGCUGCCCUCCACAUCCUCAGUGUUCUAGAACAGGACUGAGGCGAGUUUGAGAAGCUAAAAGCAAUUGGAUAAUUGACCUGUUUGUUUUUUUUUUUUUAAUAAACGCAG
This 4037-nucleotide long non-coding RNA is filed under the name Marmota monax (woodchuck). The record is from RNAcentral. Lineage: Eukaryota; Metazoa; Chordata; Mammalia; Rodentia; Sciuridae.